This 506-nucleotide ribosomal RNA is filed under the name uncultured bacterium. Its description in RNAcentral is "partial 16S ribosomal RNA". It matches the Rfam family "Bacterial small subunit ribosomal RNA", at positions 28 to 523 of the family's 1533-position model. The record is from RNAcentral.
GAUGAACGCUAGCUACAGGCUUAACACAUGCAAGUCGAGGGGUAACGAGAGGAAAGCUUGCUUUCCUUGUCGACGACCGGCGCACGGGUGAGUAACGCGUAUCCAACCUGCCCCCAACUAAGGAAUAACCUUGCGAAAGUAAGACUAAUACCUUAUAAUUUCCUCAGAUGUCAUCUGACGAGGAAUAAAGAUUUAUCGGUUGUGGAUGGGGAUGCGUCUGAUUAGCUUGUUGGCGGGGUAACGGCCCACCAAGGCAACGAUCAGUAGGGGUUCUGAGAGGAAGGUCCCCAACAUUGGAACUGAGACACGGUCCAAACUCCUACGGGAGGCAGCAGUGAGGAAUAUUGGUCAAUGGGCGGAAGCCUGAACCAGCCAAGUAGCGUGCAGGAUGACGGCCCUAUGGGUUGUAAACUGCUUUUAUACAGGAAUAAAGUUAGCCACGUGUGGUUAUUUGUAGGUACUGUAUGAAUAAGGACCGGCUAAUUCCGUGCCAGCCGCCGCCGUAA